UAGAGUUUGAUUAUGGCUCAGAUUGAACGCUGGCGGCAUGCCUUACACAUGCAAGUCGAACGGUAACAGGUCUUCGGAUGCUGACGAGUGGCGAACGGGUGAGUAAUACAUCGGAACGUGCCCGAGAGUGGGGGAUAACGAAGCGAAAGCUUUGCUAAUACCGCAUACGAUCUCAGGAUGAAAGCAGGGGACCGCAAGGCCUUGCGCUCACGGAGCGGCCGAUGGCAGAUUAGGUAGUUGGUGGGAUAAAAGCUUACCAAGCCGACGAUCUGUAGCUGGUCUGAGAGGACGACCAGCCACACUGGGACUGAGACACGGCCCAGACUCCUACGGGAGGCAGCAGUGGGGAAUUUUGGACAAUGGGCGCAAGCCUGAUCCAGCCAUGCCGCGUGCAGGAUGAAGGCCUUCGGGUUGUAAACUGCUUUUGUACGGAACGAAAAGACUCUGGUUAAUACCUGGGGUCCAUGACGGUACCGUAAGAAUAAGCACCGGCUAACUACGUGCCAGCAGCCGCGGUAAUAC
Molecule: ribosomal RNA, 522 nt
Filed under: uncultured bacterium
Lineage: Bacteria
Description: bacterial SSU rRNA
Rfam family: Bacterial small subunit ribosomal RNA
Source: RNAcentral